GUUUUAAAGUGAAUGAAACCAAAAUCUUAGGGCCACAUUUCAAAAAGCUAAUGCUAUGCCUUGAACUUAUAUAGCCUGUGAUACUGCAACUCAGCUCCACUCUCCCCUGGUAGAAAAGAGAGGGAAAAGGCUUUUGUGUGUUUGAAACUGCAUUUUUUGCCUGAACUGCAGAACAAAAUCCAACAGGAAUUAAGAAUUCACAGUAACCUCCCAUUUUCUGUUCUGAGGGUGAUGUACACUUCUCUGACUUGAGGCACAGAAAAGAGGAACAAAAAUCACUGUACCUGUGAUGGGUCAAAGGCAGCAGCACCAGAUGGAGCCCUUGCCUGAGAUGCCCCACUGGCAGGGUGGGCACUGCCCAAGUACCAGUAACUCAGAAACAGCUCCCAGCAGGCUCAGUAAAAGCAGCGCCUCUGUUGUGAAGGAGCAGUGAAUGCACCACUCAGGUCGAGAUGGGAAUUACAGCUCCAAAAUGAACAAGGAUCCUGCACAACAGCAGCACCUGAUCUAAUCUUUCCUUUGCCUCUGUGCUGGUAGGAAGGCAAGGUUGGCGUUUUCAAACCCCCUUCCCGUUGACUGGAAAGACUAGUGAAAAAACUACCUGUGCUCCAGAAGAUGAUUGAGAGACUGGAGCAUUUCUCUUAUGAGGAAAGGCUGAGGGAGCUGGGCCUGCUCACUGUUGAGAAGAGAUGGCUGAGAGGGGACCUCAUCAAUGUCUGUCAGUGUCUGCAGGGAGGGGUCAGAGGAUGGACCAGGCUCUGCUCCGGGGUGCCCAGCAAGGGGACAAGAGGCAACAGGUAGAAACUGAUGCCCAGAAGAUCCAUCAAAAUCUAAGGAAGAACUUCUUGUAAGUGACAGUGCACUGGAACAGGUUUCCCGGAGAGACUGGAGAGUCUCCCUCACUGGAGAUAUUUCAGAACUGUCUGGACACAAUCCUGUGCAAUGUUCUCUGGGAUGACCCUGCAACAGUGAGUUUGGACUGGAUGACCCACUGUGGGCCCUUCCAAAGUUACUUGCUCUGUGACUGUGCUAGGCCCUGUUCUCUCAGGAAUUCAUGUCUUAUCAAGAGCAAACAGUACCAGCCUGAGUAGGGACUAGACAAAACUAAAACUGCUUACAGCUGCACUCCUGCAUGAACACCAAACUGGGGUGACUGCAAGUCAGUCGCUGCAGGCUGUAGAUACCUGUAGCCACUGUGAGUCCAGGGAGCUCUCCUGUAUGGCAUGGUGGUGAUCUCCCUGUGAGCAGGGACAUAGCUCAAGGUUACUUCCUGAAGACCAGAGACCCCCUUACCUGGCAUCUGAUAUCUAUAAUGGGGUAAGAACAUUUUGCAUUAAGCCUAAAAGUGUAUUGUAUGUUAGUGACAUUUAUAUGUCCGGUUAUAGCUUUAG
Manacus vitellinus (golden-collared manakin) is the source of this 1391-nucleotide long non-coding RNA. RefSeq lists it as uncharacterized. The record is from RefSeq and is a predicted model, not a curated record. The transcript has 3 exons. Lineage: Eukaryota; Metazoa; Chordata; Aves; Passeriformes; Pipridae.